RNAcentral lists this non-coding RNA (45 nucleotides) under Schistosoma mattheei. Lineage: Eukaryota; Metazoa; Platyhelminthes; Trematoda; Strigeidida; Schistosomatidae. The record is from RNAcentral.
AUCCAUCUGACAAGUCCAAAAUAAGACGAAACGUGAGUCCUGGAU